GUGUUUCUUAGAAAGAAGAGAUGGUUGGCAUCUCCCCUGACAGGGAUGGGAUCAACCUUCGGGGUUCCUGUUAACACACCGGGUUCUAUCAGAUAAGGCUAACCAAAAAAUGUUUGGUCCAUGGUGGUUCCUUCAUGUUUAU
Molecule: non-coding RNA, 142 nt
Organism: Morus notabilis
Lineage: Eukaryota; Viridiplantae; Streptophyta; Magnoliopsida; Rosales; Moraceae
Source: Rfam